UGCGAAGGGGGCUAGCGUUGCUCGGAAUCACUGGGCGUAAAGCGCACGUAGGCGGAUUGUUAAGUCAGGGGUGAAAUCCUGGAGCUCAACUCCAGAACUGCCUUUGAUACUGGCGAUCUCGAGUCCGGGAGAGGUGAGUGGAACUGCGAGUGUAGAGGUGAAAUUCGUAGAUAUUCGCAAGAACACCAGUGGCGAAGGCGGCUCACUGGCCCGGUACUGACGCUGAGGUGCGAAAGCGUGGGGAGCAAACAGG
This 253-nucleotide ribosomal RNA is filed under the name uncultured bacterium. RNAcentral describes it as "partial 16S ribosomal RNA". It matches the Rfam family "Bacterial small subunit ribosomal RNA", at positions 524 to 776 of the family's 1533-position model. The record is from RNAcentral.